RNAcentral lists this ribosomal RNA (406 nucleotides) under uncultured bacterium. Its description in RNAcentral is "partial 16S ribosomal RNA". It matches the Rfam family "Bacterial small subunit ribosomal RNA", at positions 30 to 526 of the family's 1533-position model. The record is from RNAcentral.
AUUGAACGCUGGCGGCAGGCCUAACACAUGCAAGUCGAACGAGUGGUGGACGGGUGAUUACUGUCUGGGAAACUGCCUUAUGGAGGGGGAUAACUACUGGAAACUGUAGCUAAUACCGUAUACCCUCGGAUGUGCACAGCUGGGACUAGAUUGAAGGUGGGGACACGGCUCACCUAGGCGACGUGCCCUAGCUGGUCUGAGAGGUUUACCGGCCACACUGAAACUGAGACACGUGCCAGACAGCUACGGGGGGCAGCAGUGGGGAAUAUGGCACAAUGGGCGCAAGACAGAUGCAGCCAUUCCGCGUGUAGGAAGAAGGCCUUCGGGUUGUAAAGUACUUGCACCGAGGAGGCGUUACCCGCAGAAGAAGCACCAGCGAACGCCGUGCCAGCAGCCGCGGUAAUAC